Molecule: transfer RNA, 73 nt
Filed under: Thermobaculum terrenum ATCC BAA-798
Lineage: Bacteria; Bacillati; Chloroflexota; Chloroflexia; Thermobaculales (SeqCode); Thermobaculaceae (SeqCode)
Also listed under: 1 other name
Rfam family: tRNA
About the family: Transfer RNA (tRNA) molecules are approximately 80 nucleotides in length. Their secondary structure includes four short double-helical elements and three loops (D, anti-codon, and T loops).
Source: Rfam by way of RNAcentral
GGCCUCGUAGCUCAGAGGAUAGAGCAGCGGUUUCCUAAACCGCGUGUCGGGGGUUCGAGUCCCUCCGGGGCCG